GUGGGCGUAGCUCAGUUGGUAGAGCAUCUGAUUGUGGUUCAGAAGGUCGCGUGUUCGAAUCACGUCGCCCACCCCA
Molecule: transfer RNA, 76 nt
Filed under: Aeriscardovia sp.
Lineage: Bacteria; Bacillati; Actinomycetota; Actinomycetes; Bifidobacteriales; Bifidobacteriaceae
Description: tRNA-His
Rfam family: tRNA
About the family: Transfer RNA (tRNA) molecules are approximately 80 nucleotides in length. Their secondary structure includes four short double-helical elements and three loops (D, anti-codon, and T loops). Further hydrogen bonds mediate the characteristic L-shaped molecular structure. tRNAs have two regions of fundamental functional importance: the anti-codon, which is responsible for specific mRNA codon recognition, and the 3' end, to which the tRNAs corresponding amino acid is attached (by aminoacyl-tRNA synthetases). tRNAs cope with the degeneracy of the genetic code in two manners: having more than one tRNA (with a specific anti-codon) for a particular amino acid; and 'wobble' base-pairing, i.e. permitting non-standard base-pairing at the 3rd anti-codon position.
Source: RNAcentral